GAGCCCGGAACUUUGCCUCAACCUGACAAAACAGACAGGUGAGCAAAGUUUCAGGUGUGU
RNAcentral lists this microRNA precursor (60 nucleotides) under Centruroides sculpturatus (bark scorpion). Its description in RNAcentral is "Csc-Mir-87-P1l_pre stem-loop". The record is from RNAcentral. Lineage: Eukaryota; Metazoa; Arthropoda; Arachnida; Scorpiones; Buthidae.